UACUAAGUCGGCUUCUUUUGGACGUAAGG
RNAcentral lists this non-coding RNA (29 nucleotides) under Rattus norvegicus (Norway rat). The record is from RNAcentral. Lineage: Eukaryota; Metazoa; Chordata; Mammalia; Rodentia; Muridae.